RNAcentral lists this long non-coding RNA (1461 nucleotides) under Toxoplasma gondii VEG. Lineage: Eukaryota; Apicomplexa; Conoidasida; Eucoccidiorida; Sarcocystidae. The record is from RNAcentral.
GCUUCACCUGGUUCAAGCCUACGGCGGGCGUUCGCAGGAGUUGUAAGCACGACCUUGCGAACAUCUCAGUGCGCACUCCUGGAAAUUUGAGUCAAUAUGUUCUACCCCAAGCGCCCAGUCGAGGCGAACACUAUGAGUUUCGUGUUUAUUAUUAGACGAGGCGCUCCUGCUAUCCCGCUGGUUGCCUACGAACGUGAGAGUUUCGGUUGUCUUCGAGCGUCUGACAACCACGAUGUUCCACGCAUCGUGAAACAACAAACGUAUGCACCAAACGCGUUUCGAAUUCAGCAAAGCGAAAGAGCAAACUCUCGAUGCGGCCGGUGACACCUACCGUCGGUAUGUGGCGUCGCCUUUUCUUUACGCUGGUUUUUGUACGAAAUAAAGGUGUUCCGACAGAAAAAGCUACGGGUGCGCGACCAUACCCUACACCAAAGGAGUUCCAGUUUUCAGGGCCUUUCUGAGUGCCGCCAAUUGUGGUGCUCAGACUGCUUAAGACAGCCUAAAGCGUUGGGUUUAAAUACCAUUUUCGUUCAAUGCCGUGCACCAGAUGGAAACUGCGCCCGAGACAGGCUGAAUCAGUUUGCGCAGCAGUUAUGUGGCCUGGCCUCAAAGUGAGAAUUCCAUAUUUGUCAGAGAACGGUUUUGUCUGGAACGGACACAACGUCGGAGCGUCACAUGCCCACAUCUGAAGCAGUCCUCACACAUCUCCCCCCCUGCGGUCCUUGUGACCACCGUCCAUUCUAAGAGGAACCCGGUCGACAUCCUUUUGAUCUCUGAUUUCCGCAGAUAGGGGGGAAAGCCUUCACGUUUUGCUUUUCAUGUCUUAUAUCCAGAAACUGUAUUUCUGCGACAAUGAACCGCUCCGACCUCUCCUUUUUCGAACGACUCAACUCACAAUUUCUAUCCGGCCUAACUCGCCAUGUAUGUGUUUCUACGCCGAGAAAUCUACGUGGCUUUUUGCUUACACUGCCCAUGAAUCACAUCAUCUACGUAAACAACAAUGGACGUGUAGGUAUGUUUUAACUCACUGCAGAGCACAAUGUAUGCACAUGUGCAGACAUCUAUAGUUAAAUAGUUAGGGAUGUCUCCAAGUUGUAGCAAGACGGCUGUUAGGCUGGUGUUUGUGGGUGGCACGAGUUCGUCUCUGCUUUGUCAUAAUAGGCCUUUUGGGCCUUUGGUUGCCGCGCAUCCGUCCAGGCGUUUAAAGCAAAGUUCGUUCUAAAGCCCAUAAAAAAUUACACGCUCGGGUUUAUAGGGAGUCUCUGUGGCGUGCGUGGAGUGCACAUCUGUCUCAGGAAGGUCUGUUUGAAAGUGUCUUCUCUCGGCUUCUUAACCCGCGUUUUCCUGUCGGACUCUUCUACAAACCGAACCGUUGAAAAGUGGAAAAAGGUCCUUCGCUGAGAGGAAUCAGGGCACCCUGUAUGCGCGGGGGGCUACCUGCCGCUGUCUUUACAAGAUCGA